Molecule: transfer RNA, 68 nt
Filed under: Heleophryne regis (royal ghost frog)
Lineage: Eukaryota; Metazoa; Chordata; Amphibia; Anura; Heleophrynidae
Description: tRNA-Gly
Source: RNAcentral
ACUUUCUUAGUACAAAAGUACAGAUGACUUCCAAUUAUCAAAUCUUGGUGAAACCCCAAGAGAAAGUA